Molecule: long non-coding RNA, 1527 nt
Organism: Varroa destructor (honeybee mite)
Lineage: Eukaryota; Metazoa; Arthropoda; Arachnida; Mesostigmata; Varroidae
Source: RefSeq, a predicted model, not a curated record
AAACGAUACGGAAUGACGUUAUGGUAAGACUACGCUGAAUGGAAAGGAGCACUGAGGAGUCGGGACAGCUCUCAACUUAGUCCUUUUCGAACUCAAGGAGCAGGUAAAGCAGGCUUUAAGCAGCAAGCGCCUUCUAUAACAGGCCUCGGCACCGCUGUUUAGCAUAUCGUCAAGGAUUUUUUGUCGGGGUAGAGAGCUCGAUAGGAUUUAUGAAUCCAUGAAUGUUCUCAGUUCCGGUAUUGCCGUUAAGCAUUGCCUUAGACAGCCGGCGCCCUACUUAAAGCGUAUAUACUUUCACGGGCAAACACGCCAUCAUAAGACAAUACCUCUAGAUAUUUCUUUGCGAUUGCUUUUUUAGGAGCGCCAACAUUGCCUCACGUAUUGAUUACAUUUACAGGCAGGGCAGGCUAUUUACUUAGCGUCGUUGCAGAAUAACUUAAUCCCGUUAGUGGAAAACGAGCAAACGUAGAAGAGAGCUAAUGGUUGGUCGUUGCGACUGCCACACGUCACAAUUACAAUGGAUGCAAAAUUAGAAAGCACUCUUUAAGAAAAUAUCUGUUAGCCUAUCGCUAAGAGCCAACGAUGAGGAUCUGAAUUUGACAAGUAACGUUGACUGGAGUUCCAGUGAAACGCCUAACGUAGACGGAAAAAGAUAGUUACAAGAAGAAAAUUGGCUCAACGAAGCGCAAUAGAGAACAGCCAGCUACUUCCAUCUCCGACCAUCUUAGCAAGGCUGUCGAGGCUACGAGUAAAUAUAAGCAAACGUUGGCCCUUAAUUGGGCACCGAAGAAAACGAAGCCAAAGAAAACAGAAACAGAGUUAAGAAGAUACCAUAAUCGGAUAGUAAUGUAUUUUCUCACUGAACUGUUUCAAAUGAGUAUCAAAAAUAAAAAUAUCAGCUAAUGAAUGAAUGAAAUCUCGAAAUGGAACUUCAAUGCACAUAUUAGCAAAAAUUAUCCGUACAAAAGUAUAUGCUGUCGACUGUUCGACCGAACGACGUUGCCGGUAUGACACAUCUUCGAGCAAUAUCAGAAAAUGCGUUGCUCAAAGCAACUAAAAAGACGAAAAUAUGUCUUCCGACAGAAAUGUGUCCAUGGCGCCAUCUAUCUCCAGGAUCACAACCGACUUCGACAAAAGCAACCCACAAAUCACUACAUAGUAGUCCUAUAGUAUACAAGAUGUAGGAACGCGAUAGGUUCGUAAUGAGCUGCUCUAGCUUAAAAGUAAAACGAUGUAACUUUUAAGCCAUAUCAUACAUGUAAGUUAAGCUGACAUAUAUAUAUAUAUAUAUAUAUAGCUCGAGUUAAAACCAGUUAUAAGAAUUAACAAACCCGACAGAAUGACACUUUUAAGAUGUAAGCAAACAGCAUCAAUGUAUUAUCACUUUGACCAAGACCAAAGUCGUGUACGCUCCAUAGCAGACACAUAGUCAAGACGAAGCUUCGGCUUAUAAUCAGAGAAAUUCGUACAAACAAAAAAAAAACUCAAACAACUUUUACAUAAUAUAGAAUUACCACUAGAAAACUU